RNAcentral lists this ribosomal RNA (253 nucleotides) under uncultured bacterium. RNAcentral describes it as "partial 16S ribosomal RNA". It matches the Rfam family "Bacterial small subunit ribosomal RNA", at positions 524 to 776 of the family's 1533-position model. The record is from RNAcentral.
UACAGAGGCCUCGAGCGUUAGGCGGAAUCACUGGGCUUAAAGCGUGUGUAGGUGGAUGCCUAAGUGCCUUGUGAAAUCCCACGGCUUAACCGUGGAAUUGCUGGGCAUACUGGGUGUCUUGAGCCACUCAGGGGCUACCGGAACAAAUGGUGGAGCGGUGAAAUGCUUAGAUAUGACAUAGAACACCCAUUGCGAAGGCAGCUCGCUACACUAUUAUUGACACUGAGGCACGAAAGCGUGGGGAUCAAACAGG